RNAcentral lists this ribosomal RNA (470 nucleotides) under uncultured beta proteobacterium. RNAcentral describes it as "bacterial SSU rRNA". It matches the Rfam family "Bacterial small subunit ribosomal RNA", at positions 198 to 650 of the family's 1533-position model. Lineage: Bacteria; Pseudomonadati; Pseudomonadota; Betaproteobacteria. The record is from RNAcentral.
GGAGGAAAGCAGGGGAUCGCAAGACCUUGCGCUCAUUGAGCGGCCGAUGCCUGAUUAGCUAGUUGGUGAGGUAAAGGCUUACCAAGGCGACGAUCAGUAGCUGGUCUGAGAGGACGACCAGCCACACUGGGACUGAGACACGGCCCAGACUCCUACGGGAGGCAGCAGUGGGGAAUUUUGGACAAUGGGGGAAACCCUGAUCCAGCCAUGCCGCGUGAGUGAAGAAGGCCUUCGGGUUGUAAAGCUCUUUCAGCCGGAACGAAACAGUCACGGAUAAUACCCGUGACUACUGACGGUACCGGAAGAAGAAGCACCGGCUAACUACGUGCCAGCAGCCGCGGUAAUACGUAGGGUGCGAGCGUUAAUCGGAAUUACUGGGCGUAAAGCGUGCGCAGGCGGUUUUGUAAGUCAGAUGUGAAAUCCCCGGGCUUAACCUGGGAACUGCGUUUGAAAUAGAAGGCUAGAAGGGC